Molecule: ribosomal RNA, 417 nt
Filed under: uncultured bacterium
Lineage: Bacteria
Description: bacterial SSU rRNA
Rfam family: Bacterial small subunit ribosomal RNA
Source: RNAcentral
UGGGGAAUAUUGCACAAUGGGGGAAACCCUGAUGCAGCAACGCCGCGUGAAGGAAGACGGUUUUCGGAUUGUAAACUUCUUUUCUUAGUGAAGAAACAAGUGACGGUAGCUAAGGAAUAAGCAUCGGCUAACUACGUGCCAGCAGCCGCGGUAAUACGUAGGAUGCGAGCGUUAUCCGGAUUUACUGGGUGUAAAGGGAGCGCAGGCGGGACUGCAAGUUGGAUGUGAAAUACCGCAGCUUAACUGCGGAGCUGCAUCCAAAACUGUAGUUCUUGAGUGGAGUAGAGGCAAGCGGAAUUCCGAGUGUAGCGGUGAAAUGCGUAGAUAUUCGGAGGAACACCAGUGGCGAAGGCGGCUUGCUGGGCUCUAACUGACGCUGAGGCUCGAAAGUGUGGGGAGCAAACAGGAUUAGAUACC